Molecule: long non-coding RNA, 1288 nt
Organism: Vespula pensylvanica (western yellowjacket)
Lineage: Eukaryota; Metazoa; Arthropoda; Insecta; Hymenoptera; Vespidae
Exons: 4
Source: RefSeq, a predicted model, not a curated record
UAUAUAUAUAUAUAUAUAUAAAAGAGUUUGAGGGUAAAGAGGAAGAUAGCUUUCUCACGAUGAGAGAACACCAACGAAAUUAUUAUUAUCGGCAGGUACAACAAUACAUCUGGACAAAGAGGAGGCCUUCUUGAAAAAGAAUGAAAAAAAGAAGAAAAAAAAAAAGAAAGAAAGAAAGAAGGAUAUUGACUGUUCAGAAAUCUGUGGUAAUAAAAAUAAAGACAAAAGGAUAGUAAGAGUAUGAGAAGGGAAACGAACGGAAAACCGGAUCGAGCAAAGCAACCUAGUCUCUCACAUAGCAACAAGGAAACCUCUUAAAGAAUUUCCAUCGUGGUUUCUCUAUGUCCGAGUCGUAAAUCGACGUGGAGUUCGGUUGAGUCGGGAAAAGUCUUGUCUUCCUUCCAUAGUUCAACAUUGUAAGAAGACCACCGCCAAGAAUAUUUUCCUGAAUAUCUAUUUCUUGGUCUUACUAAGUCUUUAGUAUAUUUACUAGUUGAAAAUAAUAGAAAUAUAUCAUUAUUACGUUAUACGUUGUAACUGUACUAUUCUGAAGAAGAACAAAUCAAUAAGAUAAUUAAUGACAAGAUCUCGCGCGAAAUUUCUGGGCUCGUAGUUUUACGAUUCGGAGGAAUAAUAAUAAAAAAAAUAAAAAAUAAAAAAUUUGCCUGAAAUAUCACGAGAAGGAGGACAGAUUGAAUUUCAAAAAAGAAAAAAAACAUCCGGAAAGAAGUUUAUUCGAGGAAGUUAAUCAGUCAGUUUAAUACAUUUCUUUGGGACUGGCCAUUCGUGUUUUCUUCCUGGCUAAGAAGAAAAAAGAGAGAGAAAAAGAAAGACAUUUGGGCAUGGACAAAACAUGAUCAGUCGUUGUCGUCGUCGUCGUCGUCGUCGUCGUCGUCGUCGUCAUCUAAGGCACUUUGUGUGACGGUACCUCGAUGAAAAACUUUCCUUCUGAGUUCUGAGGCCUGUUACCCUCGUUAAGGUCAAUGACCGAAAAAUGACCUGCAUCUCUUCGUGUAACUCCCCUCUACUUCUCUUUCUUCUUCGUCUUCGUCGUCGUCUUCUUCUUCUUCUUCUUGAACUACGAUGUUGCUAGCACGAAACAUGCAUCUUCUAAUGGAGCUUAACCCUUAAACGGCGAAACAAAGGAUUCCCUUUUCUUUGGAAUUCCAUGAAAAAUGAACUUAGAGGUUUAUAAUGCCUUCUUGGAAUAUUAUUUUGAUGAAGCUCGUAGAGCUUUUCGUUUAAUUUAAUAGAACUAUUAACACGACCGUAGAAUUCAAAGUUAAAG